CAGUAGCCACGGUAAAACCAGCAGCCCAAGUGGUGGUCGCGAUUAUUGGGCCUAAAGCGCUCGUAGCCGGGCCGGUAAGUCCCUUGUGAAAUCGGACGGCCUAACCGUUCGGCGUGCAAGGGAUACUGUCGGUCUUGAGGCCGGGAGACGUCCGAGGUACUCCGGGGGUAGCGGUGAAAUGUUCUGAUCCUCGGGGGACCACCGGUGGCGAAGGCGUUCGACGAGAACGGGCCUGACGGUGAGGGGCGAAGGCUAGGGGAGCAAACGGGAUUAGAUACCCAUGUAGUCCAUGUCUCUUAUA
Molecule: ribosomal RNA, 301 nt
Filed under: uncultured bacterium
Lineage: Bacteria
Description: partial 16S ribosomal RNA
Rfam family: Archaeal small subunit ribosomal RNA
Source: RNAcentral